UACGACUACAUAUCAGGCAUAUCAAUAAGCGGAGGAAAAGAAACUAACAAGGAUUCCCUUAGUAACGGCGAGUGAAGCGGGAAGAGCUCAAAUUUGAAAUCUUCAAGGUUCUACCUUGACGAAUUGUAGUUUAAAGAAGUGUUUUCUGUUAGAGGAGUAGGCAAAAGUUCUCUUGGAAUAGGGACAUCAUAGAGGGUGAGAAUCCCGUAUUUGGUUCAUUCCUUUCUAGCUUUGUGAUACACUUUCAAAGAGUCGGAUUGUUUGGGGAUGCAGUCCAAAAUGGGUGGUAAAUUUCAUCUAAAGCUAAAUAUUGGCGAGAGACCGAUAGCGAACAAGUACCGUGAGGGAAAGAUGAAAAGAACUUUGAAAAGAGAGUUAAACAGUACGUGAAAUUGUCAAAAGGGAAGCGUUUGACGCCAGUGUUGUUUUUCCGAAAAUCAAUUAAGAGGGCUUGAUUUUGUGUUGUAUUGACCUUAUCAGCUUUCUUCACUCUUUUUCGAGUCUUUCUUAAUGCACUUUUCGGUUAACAAGUCAACAUCAAUUUCUUUUGUUGUAAAAGGGUAUUUGGAAGGUGGCUUUCUUUUCGGAGAAAGUGUUUAUAGCCUUAUACCUCUACAAUCGGAGAGAUUGAGGUCUGCAGCGUAGAUCCUUCGGGGCUAGAUACACUUGUGCUAAGUUAUAGCUUUUCAUAGACAACUUGUUGACUAUGUUUAGUCAUGUAGCUUACCCGCUUGUGCUAUUUUACCUACGCUUAGGAUGUUGAUCUACAGAGCGAGAGU
This 779-nucleotide ribosomal RNA is filed under the name uncultured Neocallimastigales. RNAcentral describes it as "partial large subunit ribosomal RNA". It matches the Rfam family "Eukaryotic large subunit ribosomal RNA", at positions 24 to 644 of the family's 3401-position model. The record is from RNAcentral. Lineage: Eukaryota; Fungi; Neocallimastigomycota; Neocallimastigomycetes; Neocallimastigales.